UAAAGUGGCGAACGGCUGAGUAACACGUGGGCAACCUGCCCUUUGCACUGGGAUAGCCUCGGGAAACCGAGGUUAAUACCGGACACUCCAUAUUUGUCGCAUGGCGAAUAUGGGAAAGCUCCGGCGGCAAAGGAUGGGCCCGCGGCCUGUUAGCUAGUUGGUGGGGUAGUGGCCUACCAAGGCAAUGAUGGGUAGCCGGGUUGAGAGACCGACCGGCCAGAUUGGGACUGAGACACGGCCCAGACUCCUACGGGAGGCAGCAGAG
Molecule: ribosomal RNA, 265 nt
Filed under: uncultured Atopobium sp.
Lineage: Bacteria; Bacillati; Actinomycetota; Coriobacteriia; Coriobacteriales; Atopobiaceae
Description: partial 16S ribosomal RNA
Rfam family: Bacterial small subunit ribosomal RNA
Source: RNAcentral